Long non-coding RNA from Pseudopipra pipra, 581 nucleotides. RefSeq lists it as uncharacterized. The record is from RefSeq and is a predicted model, not a curated record. The transcript has 2 exons. Lineage: Eukaryota; Metazoa; Chordata; Aves; Passeriformes; Pipridae.
ACUUUGCUCUGCUAUCCAGAAGGCUUACAAAUCCAGAGACAGCGAAGGGCUGCAGCUGCAAUGAGAAACACUCCUCUUCAUUAUUGGACCAAACCAGGACCUUUUUGAAUCAGAAAGCUAAAAACCAAGAUCCUAAUCCAGACAGGUUGAAAGCAAAGAAGAGGGGCUUGAUAUGUCAACUGAGAGCCAUAGUCACUGGACUCCUGCAAUGGCUCAUUUUUUUUCUGGCUAACUUGGUGGGCCUCUGAUUCACUCUUUCUCUAAAGAGGACUAGAAAUGUUCUGUUCAUUGAUGUUGUUGUGUGCACUCCCCAAACAUAUUUUGGUUUCAAUGAAUUUCUAGUAUUUUCCAAAUAGCUCCAGUUGCUUUGGUUUUUUUUAUGUAGAAAAACUGUGUCCUUCUUGGUGAAGGGUACAGUAGGUUGUAUAGUAAUGGAAGAAAUAUGAAUCACUUUCCAUUUGCCUCUCUGCAGCACUCCAUUCUCCCAUGUGACACUGUGAAUAAGGCAAAAAAAUUAAGUCUAUUUAAGCUCCAUUCAAAGCCUGACUCCUUCAUAUAAUAUAGCUCAUUUAAAUUCUGUC